This 467-nucleotide ribosomal RNA is filed under the name uncultured bacterium. RNAcentral describes it as "partial 16S ribosomal RNA". It matches the Rfam family "Bacterial small subunit ribosomal RNA", at positions 29 to 507 of the family's 1533-position model. The record is from RNAcentral.
ACGAACGCUGGCGGCGUGCUUAACACAUUCAAGUCGAACGGAAAGGCCCUGCUUUUGUGGGGUGCUCGAGUGGCGAACGGGUGAGUAACACGUGAGUAACCUGCCCUUGACUUUGGGAUAACUUCAGGAAACUGGGGCUAAUACCGGAUAGGAGCUCCUGCUGCAUGGUGGGGGUUGGAAAGUUUCGGCGGUUGGGGAUGGACUCGCGGCUUAUCAGCUUGUUGGUGGGGUAGUGGCUUACCAAGGCUUUGACGGGUAGCCGGCCUGAGAGGGUGACCGGCCACAUUGGGACUGAGAUACGGCCCAGACUCCUACGGGAGGCAGAAGUGGGGAAUAUUGCACAAUGGGCGGAAGCCUGAUGCAGCAACGCCGCGUGCGGGAUGACGGCCUUCGGGUUGUAAACCGCUUUCGCCUGUGACGAAGCGUGAGUGACGGUAAUGGGUAAAGAAGCACCGGCUAACUACGUG